This is a long non-coding RNA of Onychostruthus taczanowskii (white-rumped snowfinch), 1607 nucleotides long. RefSeq lists it as uncharacterized. The record is from RefSeq and is a predicted model, not a curated record. NCBI's taxonomy places the organism in Eukaryota, Metazoa, Chordata, Aves, Passeriformes, Passeridae. The transcript has 4 exons.
GCUGCGCGGAGCGGACGGGACCGGACGGAACGGGACGGGCUGCGGCCGGCGAGCGGCAGCGCCGGGGCCAGCGCGCCUUCUCCGGUGUGGGUCAGCGGGGAGCAGCACCUCGCUUUACCUUCAAAAGCUGGUGCUAUCGGACGGGCCGUGGAUGGGUUAAUUGGGCGGCUUAAUGUAACCACGCCAGCAGUCAAAACAGAUCUUGUCAGGCAUGUGAUCUCAAUGUCUGUGAUCUUCCUCCUGGAAAGGUAUUUCUUGGCUCAGGUCUCUCUGGACUGGCACUGAAGUAUCCUUUGUCCUUUUAUGUGGUUUGUAAUGCUUGGGAAAUCGUGCUGGAGGCAAAGAAGAGGUUCUUUGGCUCAGACGGCCCUGCCAGGUUGACUGCCUGCUCCAGUCCCACAUCACAUCUGUGGUUAUGUUCUGAAGCCCAGGAGAUCGGAACUGAAUGUUCUUUUUGUCACGUCCCUCCCUACCUAUGUCAGCCUUCCAGCAGCAGGGAGUACAGAGCAGGGAGUACCAGUUACCUGCACUGACCAUAAAACUGUGAAAAACCAUUUCCAUGGCACAGCACACCAGCAGAGUGGAUGAAACAAUGGAGUCUGCCCAAUUAUUUUACCAGAAUGGAAGAAGAGGAUGAGCAUCCAGUCCUCUGGUUUAAGAGGAGACUAUAAAGGUACCAGAUAAGUGGAAAAGGCAAAAAGCAUCAGGCAGUAGUAGACCUUAGUUACUAGUUCAAAUGAAAAUACCACUACACAGACCAUAAGGGAUUCAGGUAAAUGAAGCAGUAGAAGCUUGAUUGUGAUGGCAGGUGUUUGGAAGAGCUAUUAAAUUACUGUAGCUGGUUCCACAUCAGUAAAGAAGUGAUUGGUUUUGAGAACUGCAAAAACGGUAUUGUAAAGCUAAUAAGCAUUAAUCAGAUGGCAAGAAAAAUGCAGGAUUGCAGGAAUAGGGAGGAAAAAAAUUGUGAAGGGAAACUUAUUAAUUAUGCCUGACAACUAGAGGGAUAGACCAGCCUCUCUUUAGCAGACAUGGAAUCAAAUUAGUAACCUUUUUCUUGACUUCUGUGCCUUAUGGGUUUAUGCACAUAGGAGGAAUCCUGCUAAAAAUAUGCUGUUUUCAGCAGAAAGUGAAGAGCUCCAUUUGAAUCAUCUUUGUAUGUAGCCAAAAAAUUACUUGAGAGCAUUUUGAGUAUUACUGUCUUUUGUCAAGGUCCAGAGAGGAGUUGGAGGGCAGACACCAGUUUCAUACUCCGCUCAUCCCUCCCUUGCAUGCAAAAUUGCACCAAGAAAAAUCAAAAUAUUGGCCUAUUCCAGCAGCAGUGCUUUAUGCUCUUUCCUACUUCACUAUGUCUAUCUUAUUUAAAUGUGGGGUAGUGAAAAUCCUGCUCAAUAAGAUGUGUCUCACAAAUGGAGAAAAACUACAUGAUGCAUAAAAGGACUUUCACAAAAAGAAUGUAAUUUCUUAUGCAAAUUCAUCGUCUUUUAAUAAAACAACCCUGGGGUUUUUAAACACCAACUGUUAUCUGUAAAUGUCACUGGAACCACAUUAUAGCUGAAGUGUGAGAGUAUGGAAUAAACACAUGAAUGUUCUUAUUGAAUGUAAUGUGA